This 504-nucleotide ribosomal RNA is filed under the name uncultured Geoalkalibacter sp. RNAcentral's name for it is "bacterial SSU rRNA". It matches the Rfam family "Bacterial small subunit ribosomal RNA", at positions 382 to 876 of the family's 1533-position model. Lineage: Bacteria; Pseudomonadati; Thermodesulfobacteriota; Desulfuromonadia; Desulfuromonadales; Geoalkalibacteraceae. The record is from RNAcentral.
CCUGACCGAGCGACGCCGCGUGAGGGAUGAAGGCCUUCGGGUUGUAAACCUCUGUCCAUUGGGAAGAAUGGCCGGAUGGUGUAAAUCCUAGAGCAGGGACGGUACCCAAGGAGGAAGCCCCGGCUAACUCCGUGCCAGCAGCCGCGGUAAUACGGAGGGGGCAAGCGUUGUUCGGAUUUACUGGGCGUAAAGGGUGUGUAGGCGGCCGGAUAAGUUUGGUGUGAAAUCUCACCGCUCAACGGGGGAAGGGCACUGGAAACUGUCUGGCUCGAGUAUGGUAGAGGCAAGCGGAAUUCCUGGUGUAGCGGUGGAAUGUGUAGAUAUCAGGAAGAACACCGGUGGCGAAGGCGGCUUGCUGGGCCAUCACUGACGCUGAGACACGAAAGCGUGGGGAGCAAACGGGAUUAGAUACCCCGGUAGUCCACGCUGUAAACGGUGCGCACUAGGUGUAGGGGGUAUCGACCCCCCUUGUGCCGAAGCAAACGCAUUAAGUGCGCCGCCUGG